AACGAACGCUGGCGGCAUGCCUAACACAUGCAAGUCGAACGAGACCUUCGGGUCUAGUGGCGCACGGGUGCGUAACGCGUGGGAACCGGCCCUUAGGUUCGGCAUAACUCCCCGAAAGGGGUGCUAAUACCGGAUAAUGUCUUCGGCCCAAAGAUUUAUCGCCCUUGGAGGGGCCCGCGUUGGAUUAGCUAGUUGGUAGGGUAAAAGCCUAACAAGGCGUCGAUCCAUAGCUGGUCUGAGAGGAUGAUCAGCCACACUGGGACUGAGACACGGCCCAGACUCCUACGGGAGGCAGCAGUGGGGAAUAUUGGACAGUGGGCGAAAGCCUGAUCCAGCAAUGCCGCGUGAGUGAUGAAGGCCUUAGGGUUGUAAAGCUCUUUUACCCGGGAUGAUAAUGACAGUACCGGGAGAAUAAGCCCCGGCUAACUCCGUG
RNAcentral lists this ribosomal RNA (433 nucleotides) under uncultured bacterium. Its description in RNAcentral is "partial 16S ribosomal RNA". It matches the Rfam family "Bacterial small subunit ribosomal RNA", at positions 29 to 507 of the family's 1533-position model. The record is from RNAcentral.